GACAAAAAAUAUCAAUGCUGAGCACAACGUGUUUAGUAAUUGGAAUGAGUACAAUUUAAUCCCUUAACAAGUAACAAUUAGAGGGGCAAGUCUGGUGCCAGCAGCCGCGGUAAUUCCAGCUCUAAUAGCGUAUAUUAAUAUUGUUGCAGUUAAAAAGCUCGUAGUUGAAAUUUUGGAACUUAAUGGGUUUCUUCCUACUAGGAUUCGAUUCUGUCCUUAACUGGAUGGAGUAGUCAUCUCUCGGGGUGAUCAAUUUGUUGUUAUAUCUCCACUAAUGAGCGGAGAGGGGUAAAACUCUCAAAGUAAGUUUUGUGGGUCAAGGUAUGAUGAUGAAUUGGAGUUCUAGUUCAUUUACUUUGAGAAAAUUAGAGUGUUUUAAAGCAGCCUCUUGGGGUCUACUGAAUACAUUAGCAUGGGAUAAUAGAAUAGGAUCUUUACAAUAUAUUUUAUUGGUUUAAAUUGAA
This 464-nucleotide ribosomal RNA is filed under the name uncultured eukaryote. Its description in RNAcentral is "bacterial SSU rRNA". It matches the Rfam family "Eukaryotic small subunit ribosomal RNA", at positions 469 to 860 of the family's 1831-position model. The record is from RNAcentral.